Molecule: long non-coding RNA, 2114 nt
Organism: Triplophysa rosa
Lineage: Eukaryota; Metazoa; Chordata; Actinopteri; Cypriniformes; Nemacheilidae
Exons: 3
Source: RefSeq, a predicted model, not a curated record
UAUUUGUGAAAACAGGACAGGUAAGUGAAUAAACAACGAUUAUCAAACGUGUUAUUUUGGGUGUUACUGUUGUCAUGCUAGCUAGCGUGAGCAAGUUAUCAGCUAAAGGGCUAACAUGUUGGGAAGCUAACAUUAGUAACUGUUACUCUAGUCUAGAUCGAAGCCAACUAACGUUAGACUUAAUGUUAGUUGUGUUUAAUUGUUUUUGAACCAGGUGUGUGACGUUUCAUAUCGAUUGGGUUUAUAUUCAACCUGGGGCGCAACAGCACAUUUUCUGAGGGGUAUGCGAGAUCAGUUUUGGAUAAUAGAGUUAAGAAAUUGCAACAAACGCGAAUUUAAAUGCAAAUUAACAUAUUUCCUUCAACCAUAUAUUCUAUACAAAUAACGUGUUAAUUCACUUUCUUAUAAUCGACAAUUGAAUGCAAACUCAGCUGAUGAUGGCCAUUUGCCUUUUCUAAUGAUCAAAACAACAGAAAAGCCAACAAGUUAAAUUGUCAUAUCGUUAGAUAUUUGAACAGGCUCAUUAGCUAUUACGUUUAACAAAACAAAGCAAUUAUUCAAGAUAUUACAUUUUUCACUUAACAGGUCAAUCAUUCCUAGGCUCUGAACACAAAAGCAACAUGUCCAUGGAUAGUGGUGCUGGAGGAACGGACAGUGGCGAUGGCACAUUGUUGCAACUCAAGACAAUUUGCAGCACAUAAAACUGCACAUCUGCUGAUGAGUUUACGUUCUGUUGUAACAGCUCCAAAGUGAAGGCCAAGAAGCAGAGCCCAAAAAAAGUGCAAUCCUGUCAGUCAUCGAAGGCCAUUCCAUCAGAUACAUGCCCAAGACUGUACUACUGGAUCUGCCAACACCUCUGACCACUCUUUAUGCGAGCCCCAGGCUUGAAAUGGAUUUGCCCGCACUGCUGGAGGAGGGUGCUGAGACCUUUGAGAAGCUGCAUCUCACACCAGAGCAGAUGGGGUCUAAAAAAUGAGGACACUGCCAGAGAAUCGUACCCGAGGGCGAUGCAGGACCUCCAAGCAGACCUCCACGUUGCAGCAUCUGGAUUUAUAAGUAACCCAGAGGUGCCAUGGAUCGGUGGAUCACCAGAUGGUGUGGUGAUGGUGUUAUAGAUUAAGUGUCCUUUCAGUGGAAAAGACCGCACCCUACAUGAAUGUGUAAAAGACUCAAGGUUCUGUCUGAGGAAGACUCAAGGUUCUGUCACUGAGGAAGGUGUAAUGAGCCUAAAGCUUAAUCACAGUUACAUGCAUCAAGUCCAAGCCCAAAUGUGUGUAGCAGAGGUAACAUACUGUGAUUGUCAAGAACUAUUUAUACAGCGCAUCCCGUUUGAUGAUACAAAAAAAACAAUGUCACAUGUCAAACAAUAGCUGCCAAAACUAAUCUCUUACUGUGUUUGCAACUUACUUUGUGACCCAUUUUACUGAGAUGACAAAUCUGCCAAAUGUCUCUUAUACAUGUACUGUAUGUUUAAGUAAAAAUGAAGCAUUAACUUUGUCUGUAGUACAUUUUCAGAAAAUGGAAAAAUAAACAAAAUUCAGAAAUAAAUUCAGAGUACUCAGAACCUAUGUUUUUUUAUCCUUAUGGUUAUGUAUUUGUGUACAAAUUCAUCUGACAACACUGAAACAUACAUAUUAAAAUAACAUAGAUUGCACAGAAAACAACUGUAUAUAUAAUAAUUGGUUCUGCGUUGUAGUUCAGAGUAGUAUUUAAACAAAUCAUAGGAAUCAAACAUGAAUAAAUACAAUAAUUUCUAUAUUAUUGUAUAUUAUUAUUUUUUUAUCAUCUGUGUUCUGUCCUGUUGCUGUCUUUCUGUUGCACUGUGGAGCUUCUGUCACUAUAACAAAUUCCUGGCCAAUAAAGCUCAUUCUAUUCUCAUUCUAUUCUAUUCUGAAAAAGUCAUAAAUAUGACUAAUAAAUUAUUACUGUAAGAUGGAACAUUCAUCCAUGUUACAUUGUGGUAAACAACUACUGUCUGUCUAUUCUGUGGGGACAAUGGAUAGCCAAAUAUUACAAAGAGCACAACAAACUGUCACCAUCUUGUCAAGUGAGGUAGGUUGUCCUUUAGUGGCCCCUUCGGUGUGGUGGUCUUAAGGGUGGUGUAUUUGUUUCUG